ACAACAGUUAGAAAUGACUGCUAAUACCGCAUAUGCCUUAGAAUCACAUGGUUCAAAAGGGAAAGGAGCAAUCCGCUGAUAGAUGGGCUUGCGUCUGAUUAGCUAGUUGGUGGGGUAACGGCCUACCAAGGCGACGAUCAGUAGCCGAACUGAGAGGUUGAACGGCCACAUUGGGACUGAGAUACGGCCCAGACUCCUACGGGAGGCAGCAGUCGGGAAUAUUGCGCAAUGGAGGAAACUCUGACGCAGUGACGCCGCGUGCAGGAAGAAGGUUUUCGGAUUGUAAACUGCUUUAGACAGGGAAGAACAAAGACAGUACCUGUAGAAUAAGCUCCGGCUAACUACGUGCCAGCAGCCGCGGUAAUACGUAGGGAGCGAGCGUUAUCCGGAUUUAUUGGGUGUAAAGGGUGCGUAGACGGGAAGUCAAGUUAGUUGUGAAAUCCCUCGGCUUAACUGAGGAACUGCAACUAAAACUGAUUUUCUUGAGUACUGGAGAGGAAAGUGGAAUUCCUAGUGUAGCGGUGAAAUGCGUAGAUAUUAGGAGGAACACCGGUGGCGAAGGCGACUUUCUGGACAGAAACUGACGUUGAGGCACGAAAGUGUGGGGAGCAAACAGGAUUAGAUACCCUGGUAGUCCACACCGU
Molecule: ribosomal RNA, 644 nt
Filed under: uncultured bacterium
Lineage: Bacteria
Description: bacterial SSU rRNA
Rfam family: Bacterial small subunit ribosomal RNA
Source: RNAcentral